GAUGAACGCUGGCGGCGUGCCUAAUACAUGCAAGUCGAGCGAACGGACGAGAAGCUUGCUUCUCUGAUGUUAGCGGCGGACGGGUGAGUAACACGUGGAUAACCUACCUAUAAGACUGGGAUAACUUCGGGAAACCGUAGCUAAUACCGGAUAAUAUUUUGAACCGCAUGGUUCAAAAGUGAAAGACGGUCUUGCUGUCACUUAUAGAUGGAUCCGCGCUGCAUUAGCUAGUUGGUAAGGUAACGGCUUACCAAGGCAACGAUGCAUAGCCGACCUGAGAGGGGGGCGGGACACAGGGGAACAGAGACACGGCCCAGACUCAAGAGGGAGGAAGAGGUGGGAGAUCUUCCGAAGGGGGAAAAGGCCGGAGGGAGAAACCCGGAGGGAGGAAGAAAGGUGUGGGGAACGAAAAACUGUGUUAUAGGGGAAAAAAAUGUGGGAAAGAAACUGUGCACAUCUGAAGGGACCAAAAUAAGAAAGACAGGGAAAACUCCGUG
Molecule: ribosomal RNA, 497 nt
Filed under: uncultured bacterium
Lineage: Bacteria
Description: partial 16S ribosomal RNA
Rfam family: Bacterial small subunit ribosomal RNA
Source: RNAcentral